Molecule: transfer RNA, 73 nt
Filed under: Clunio marinus
Lineage: Eukaryota; Metazoa; Arthropoda; Insecta; Diptera; Chironomidae
Rfam family: tRNA
About the family: Transfer RNA (tRNA) molecules are approximately 80 nucleotides in length.
Source: Rfam by way of RNAcentral
GCUUCUGUAGUGUAGUGGUUAUCACGUUUGCUUCACACGCAAAAGGUCCUGAGUUCGAACCUCAGCAGAAGCA